This 809-nucleotide ribosomal RNA is filed under the name uncultured bacterium. Its description in RNAcentral is "bacterial SSU rRNA". It matches the Rfam family "Bacterial small subunit ribosomal RNA", at positions 1 to 777 of the family's 1533-position model. The record is from RNAcentral.
UCGGCUUAGAGUUUGAUCAUGGCUCAGGAUGAACGCUGGCGGCGUGCCUAAUACAUGCAAGUCGAACGAAACUUCUUUAUCACCGAGUGCUUGCACUCACCGAUAAAGAGUUGAGUGGCGAACGGGUGAGUAACACGUGGGCAACCUGCCCAAAAGAGGGGGAUAACACUUGGAAACAGGUGCUAAUACCGCAUAACCAUAGUUACCGCAUGGUAACUAUGUAAAAGGUGGCUAUGCUACCGCUUUUGGAUGGGCCCGCGGCGCAUUAGCUAGUUGGUGAGGUAAAGGCUUACCAAGGCGAUGAUGCGUAGCCGAACUGAGAGGUUGAUCGGCCACAUUGGGACUGAGACACGGCCCAAACUCCUACGGGAGGCAGCAGUAGGGAAUCUUCCACAAUGGGCGAAAGCCUGAUGGAGCAACGCCGCGUGGGUGAAGAAGGUCUUCGGAUCGUAAAACCCUGUUGUUAGAGAAGAAAGUGCGUGAGAGUAACUGUUCACGUUUCGACGGUAUCUAACCAGAAAGCCACGGCUAACUACGUGCCAGCAGCCGCGGUAAUACGUAGGUGGCAAGCGUUAUCCGGAUUUAUUGGGCGUAAAGGGAACGCAGGCGGUCUUUUAAGUCUGAUGUGAAAGCCUUCGGCUUAACCGGAGUAGUGCAUUGGAAACUGGGAGACUUGAGUGCAGAAGAGGAGAGUGGAACUCCAUGUGUAGCGGUGAAAUGCGUAGAUAUAUGGAAGAACACCAGUGGCGAAAGCGGCUCUCUGGUCUGUAACUGACGCUGAGGUUCGAAAGCGUGGGGAGCAAACAGGA